UUUAAAUAGCUGCAGUAAUUUAACUGUACAAAGGUAGCGUAAUAAUUAGUCUUUUAAUUGAGGUCUAGAAUGAAAGGUUUGACAAGAAAAAAUCUUUAUUAAUUUAAUUUAAUGAAUUUUAUUUUUUAGUUAAAAAGCUAAAAUUUUUAAAUGGGACGAUAAGACCCUAUAGAUCUUUAAAUCUUUGUUUUAUAAAAUUAUUUAGGUGGAAUUUAAGUUUUAUUGACAGAAAUUUUUUGUUGGGGUGACAAAUAAAAUUUUAAAACUUUAAAAUUUAAUUACAUAAAUUAGUGAAUUUUUGAACCUAAAUUUGGGGUUGUUAGAAUAAGAUACCUUAGGGAUAACAGCGUAAUAAAUUUGUAUAGUUCAUAUAGAUAAAUUUGAUUACGACCUCGAUGUUGAAUUAAUCUAAAGUUUUGGAGCAGAAUAUAGAAUUUUAGGUCUGUUCGACCUUUAAAAGAUUACA
Molecule: ribosomal RNA, 466 nt
Filed under: Stiropis nigrifrons
Lineage: Eukaryota; Metazoa; Arthropoda; Insecta; Hemiptera; Delphacidae
Description: partial 16S ribosomal RNA
Rfam family: Archaeal large subunit ribosomal RNA
Source: RNAcentral